GGAAAUAUAGCUCAGUGGUAGAGCACUUGUUUGGCAUGUGAAAGUCUUUAAGUUCAAUCCCCAUACUUCCA
This 71-nucleotide transfer RNA is filed under the name Ictidomys tridecemlineatus (thirteen-lined ground squirrel). RNAcentral's name for it is "Spermophilus tridecemlineatus (thirteen-lined ground squirrel) tRNA". It matches the Rfam family "tRNA". From Rfam's summary of the family: Transfer RNA (tRNA) molecules are approximately 80 nucleotides in length. The record is from Rfam by way of RNAcentral. Lineage: Eukaryota; Metazoa; Chordata; Mammalia; Rodentia; Sciuridae.